AGAGUUUGAUCAUGGCUCAGAACGAACGCUGGCGGCAGGCCUAACACAUGCAAGUCGAACGAAGCCUUCGGGUUUAGUGGCGGACGGGUGAGUAACGCGUGGGAACGUGCCCUUCUCUACGGAAUAGUCCUGGGAAACUGGGUUUAAUACCGUAUACGCCCUUCGGGGGAAAGAAUUUCGGGGAAGGAUCGGCCCGCGUUGGAUUAGGUAGUUGGUGGGGUAAUGGCCCACCAAGCCGACGAUCCAUAGCUGGUUUGAGAGGAUGAUCAGCCACACUGGGACUGAGACACGGCCCAGACUCCUACGGGAGGCAGCAGUGGGGAAUCUUAGACAAUGGGGGCAACCCUGAUCUAGCCAUGCCGCGUGAGUGACGAAGGCCCUAGGGUCGUAAAGCUCUUUCGCCAGGGAUGAUAAUGACAGUACCUGGUAAAGAAACCCCGGCUAACUCCGUGCCAGCAGCCGCGGUAAUACGGAGGGGGUUAGCGUUGUUCGGAAUUACUGGGCGUAAAGCGCGCGUAGGCGGACUAUUAAGUCAGAGGUGAAAUCCCGGGGCUCAACCCCGGAACUGCCUUUGAUACUGGUAGUCUUGAGUUCGAGAGAGGUGAGUGGAAUUCCGAGUG
This 620-nucleotide ribosomal RNA is filed under the name uncultured Alphaproteobacteria bacterium. RNAcentral describes it as "bacterial SSU rRNA". It matches the Rfam family "Bacterial small subunit ribosomal RNA", at positions 8 to 675 of the family's 1533-position model. Lineage: Bacteria; Pseudomonadati; Pseudomonadota; Alphaproteobacteria. The record is from RNAcentral.